Molecule: ribosomal RNA, 460 nt
Filed under: uncultured bacterium
Lineage: Bacteria
Description: partial 16S ribosomal RNA
Rfam family: Bacterial small subunit ribosomal RNA
Source: RNAcentral
CCUACGGGGGGCUGCAGUGAGGAAUAUUGGUCAAUGGGCGCGAGCCUGAACCAGCCAAGUAGCGUGAAGGAUGACUGCCCUACGGGUUGUAAACUUCUUUUAUAAAGGAAUAAAGUGAGGCACGUGUGCCUUUUUGUAUGUAAUUUAUGAAUAAGGAUCGGCUAACUCCGUGCCAGCAGCCGCGGUAAUACGGAGGAUCCGAGCGUUAUCCGGAAUUAUUGGGUUUAAAGGGGGCGUAGAUGGGUUGUUAAGUCAGUUGUGAAAGUGUGCGGCUCAACCGUAAAAUUGCAAUUGAUACUGGCAGGCUUGAGUACAGUAGAGGAAGGCGGAAUUCGUGGUGUAGCGGUGAAAUGCUUAGAUAUCACGAAGAACUCCGAUUGCGAAGGCAGCUUACUAAACUGCCACUGACAUUGAUGCUCGAAAGUGUGGGUAUCAAACAGGAUUAGAUACCCUUGUAGUC